GAAGGUGGUACCCUGUUGGACAACUAUGAGUUCAGGUGUGGCUUUGCAUAAAAGGAGCAGCAGGUGUCAGCUGUGUUUGUGGAUCUGCUGUCCAGCACGCAAGACAUUCAGCUGCCUGCCGGAGGUCUUUGAAGAUGUCUGGACGAGGGGGGCACUGUAAUCGAGGAGGCCGUGGAGGUGGGCGUGGACACGGACACGGACAUGGACAUGGACAUGGGCAUGGACAUGGACAUGAACAUGAACAUGGGGAAUGUCAUGGACAUGGUCAUGAGCAUGAUCAUGGGCAUGAUCAUGGACAUGGUCAUGAUCAUGGACACGGAGAUGGUCAUGGUCAUGGACAUGGUCAUGAUCAUGGGCAUGAUCAUGGGCAUGAUCAUGGACACGGACAUGAUCAUGGACAUGGACAUGGUCAUGGUCAUGAUCAUGAUCAUGGGCAUGAUCAUGGACACGGAGAUGGACAUGAUUGUGGGCAUGGAUGUGGUCGUGGACGUGGUCGUGGACGUGGUCGUGGACAUGGAUGUGGUCGUGGUCGUGGACAUGGACAUGGACAUGGACGUGGACAUCACGGGCACGGCAAAGGCCACACACACAAGCAUGGUCACAUGCAUAACCAUUGCCACAAGAAAGGAACUAAGUGUCACGGGUCCUCCAGCAGCUCCUGCAGCAGCGACUCGGAUUAGAUGACGCUGAAGAAAGACAAUUACAGGCUGUAAACUUGGAAAAUGUCAUCCUGUCGAUCCUCACAAUAUUCAGUAAUAAACUGUAAAACACUCUAAAACAAAUGUUGAGUUAUUUAAACACUACACAGGUUGCUGUUUAUUGUUGAACCUGUUAAAGGUUCAGCUGUCACAUAUUAUGAAGUGUUGAACCAAUACAGUUGAAUUCUCUUCACAGUAGUCAGUGUGCGACAAAUUGUCUACUAGACAGUGAUCACAUUACUCCCUUGUAAUAAACAGCAUGAAACUGCUUUCUGUUUAUCUCAACAACAAGUAACCCAAUAACUAAAGCGCCUCUGUCUUUUUUAUUUCAUUUGACCUUGUAGUUUAACGUUACCCUGUUUGUGUGUUACCACUCAGUGUGUAUUCAUAUUAUCUGUAUUUACCCAGGGAGCGUUGAAUGAACAAGAGCUUUGUCCAGCAGGGCUUUUCCCCAACGAUAAACAACACACCCUGCCGCUCCGCAGAACAUUCACACCUCUCCUCCUUAAACGCCGUGGAUCCCUCAUUUACGCUGUUCUUGUUCUUUUAAUAGCACCAUCUGAAGCAAAACAAUAAACCAGAGAAUCCUUUCUAAGUACAUUAGAAAUGGGAAGGUGAGCCGAGUAAACUGCCCUUAUGAAAUGUUACGAGUUCUCGUUGGGCGAGCGACUGCUGCACUGCCUUCUACCGACCCAGACCUGUCAACAAACCGCUCCUCCGGUCCAGCCCCGGUCAGUGGAGUUCUGUGUUUACAUAUAUGUCUGAUAUUCAUCAUACUGUGUAUACCGUGUAUGUACCUGGUCAAAGGUCUCACUAUCAACUGUGGAAACCCAUUCCACCUAAGAGCCUGUUCCUUUUAAUUCCUGCAUCAAAUGUCAAGCUCCUUCUCUACUUGAUGACUUUGUCCCAGGUCACGUGUCAACACACGGUCCUCAAUGACCCUCGCUUUGCCAAUCAGUCCUCUCAGUUGAAGGGACUACGGUAAACAUUGUUGUCAUAUGGACGACUACAACAACAUCGCGAUUGUUUUUCCUGGGUGUGUGUACCGACUUUUUGAUGUAUACAGUUUAGAUGUAUGUUGAAGACACACACACACACACACACACACACACACACACCCAUUUAGGUAACCAAGCAAAAAUGUUCUAAUGGGAGUUCAGGCCCCGCCCCUGGUGGUACGAAGUGCACUGCACAUAAAAAGGAGCAUCAGAACACGGCUCUCCAGCACACAGUAAGUUCACCUCUUAAACUGCUGAGGAUUUGCAGCUCUCAGGUUCUGGAGUGUGUGUUAAAAACACAAACUGUGCUUCCUCUUUUUCUUGCAGGAUCUGAAGUUUCAUCCAAGGUUUAAAAAUGUACGGAUACAACCAAGGAAACCAGUACCCUCCUGGUUACCCCAACAACCCUCAGCAGAUGCCUGGGGGAUACCCUCAACAUCCUCCAGGUACCGCACCGAUGAACUACCCCCCUCGGCCUCACGGCCCGUACGGAGGCCAACACGGACCUGGACCUGGUUACGGUCCCAACCAAGGACAUGGACCUGGUUACGGACCCAACCAAGGACAUGGACCUGGUUACGGUCCCAACCAAGGACAUGGACCUGGUUACGGACCCAACCAAGGACAUGGACCUGGUUACGGUCCCAACCAAGGACAUGGACCUGGUUAUGGUCCCAGCCAAGAACAUGGACAGGGCCACGGACAUGGACAUGGACAUGGACAGGGUCACGGACAGUGCCAAGGACAUGGACAUGGACAUGGACAUGGACAGGGUCACGGACAGUGCCAAGGACAUGGACAUGGACAUGGACAGGGUCAUGGACAGGGCCACGGACACAAGCACAAGCACAAGGACGGUCACAAGCACGGCCAGUGUCACAAGAAAGGAAAGGACUGUCGUGGG
Gasterosteus aculeatus aculeatus (three-spined stickleback) is the source of this 2600-nucleotide long non-coding RNA. Lineage: Eukaryota; Metazoa; Chordata; Actinopteri; Perciformes; Gasterosteidae. The record is from Ensembl.